This 253-nucleotide ribosomal RNA is filed under the name uncultured prokaryote. Its description in RNAcentral is "partial 16S ribosomal RNA". It matches the Rfam family "Bacterial small subunit ribosomal RNA", at positions 524 to 776 of the family's 1533-position model. The record is from RNAcentral.
UACGGGGGGGGCAAGCGUUGUUCGGAAUUACUGGGCGUAAAGCGCGUGUAGGCGGCUCUUCAAGUCGAGUGUGAAAGCUCCAGGCUUAACCUGGGAACUGCGCUCGAUACUGUUGAGCUAGAGUGUGGAAGGGGCUACUGGAAUUCCGUGUGUAGCGGUGAAAUGCGUAGAGAUGGGGGAGAACACUCGUGGCGAAGGCGGCCAGCUAGACCAGUUCUGACACUGAGGCGCGACAGCGUGGGGAGCAAACAGG